This 465-nucleotide ribosomal RNA is filed under the name Vreelandella stevensii. Its description in RNAcentral is "partial 16S ribosomal RNA". It matches the Rfam family "Bacterial small subunit ribosomal RNA", at positions 338 to 795 of the family's 1533-position model. The record is from RNAcentral. Lineage: Bacteria; Pseudomonadati; Pseudomonadota; Gammaproteobacteria; Oceanospirillales; Halomonadaceae.
CCUACGGGUGGCAGCAGUGGGGAAUAUUGGACAAUGGGGGCAACCCUGAUCCAGCCAUGCCGCGUGUGUGAAGAAGGCCCUCGGGUUGUAAAGCACUUUCAGUGAGGAAGAACGCCUGGUGGUUAAUACCCAUCAGGAAAGACAUCACUCACAGAAGAAGCACCGGCUAACUCCGUGCCAGCAGCCGCGGUAAUACGGAGGGUGCGAGCGUUAAUCGGAAUUACUGGGCGUAAAGCGCGCGUAGGUGGCUUGAUAAGCCGGUUGUGAAAGCCCCGGGCUCAACCUGGGAACGGCAUCCGGAACUGUCAAGCUAGAGUGCAGGAGAGGAAGGUAGAAUUCCCGGUGUAGCGGUGAAAUGCGUAGAGAUCGGGAGGAACACCAGUGGCGAAGGCGGCCUUCUGGACUGACACUGACACUGAGGUGCGAAAGCGUGGGUAGCAAACAGGAUUAGAUACCCGAGUAGUC